UGGGGGAUAUUGCACAAUGGGCGAAAGCCUGAUGCAGCGACGCCGCGUGGGGGAUGAAGGCCUUCGGGUUGUAAACUUCUUUUGCUCUGAACAAGGCGCACCAUGGGGUGUGUUGAGUGUAGGGGUUGAUUAGCGCCGGCUAACUACGUGCCAGCAGCCGCGGUAAUACGUAGGGCGCGAGCGUUGUCCGGAAUUAUUGGGCGUAAAGGGCUUGUAGGUGGCUGGUUGCGUCUGUCGUGAAAGCUCAUGGCUUAACUGUGGGUUUGCGGUGGGUACGGGCUGGCUUGAGUGCAGUAGGGGAGGCUGGAAUUCCUGGUGUAGCGGUGGAAUGCGCAGAUAUCAGGAGGAAUACCGGUGGCGAAGGCGGGUCUCUGGGCCGUUACUGACACUGAGGAGCGAAAGCAUGGGGAGCGAACAGG
This 419-nucleotide ribosomal RNA is filed under the name bacterium. Its description in RNAcentral is "partial 16S ribosomal RNA". It matches the Rfam family "Bacterial small subunit ribosomal RNA", at positions 355 to 776 of the family's 1533-position model. The record is from RNAcentral.